CUUUGCAAAUGUCUGUUAAAAGCCUAGGAUCACUACAUCAGAGUGAAAUACCAACCAUUAACGACAGCUAGAGUCACUCUUCAGUCAGGAACAAAUGGAUCAUGGACAAAGAGAGUUCUGAAAAAAAGCAAUAAACGAAGACACCAAUUCUCAAGUCCCUGUGAUGAAAAAGGAACAUUUCUUCAAAUAUGGUUAUAAAGCUUAUAUGACCAUAGUCCAGUCUACACUAGUUGUUACUAAAUGUGACUUUACAUAUUUUUAAUUUCAUCCACUAAGUGUUGAAUUCUUUUUUUUUUUCACUCACAAAGGCUACCUGAUUUUAUUUCCAACUCUUUCAAAAAGAAGGGCUCAGGAAGGCUUCUUACAGUACCUGCACCUGUCACAGACAAUCUUUAGCCAUAUGAAAAUCUUUUAGUUCCUAUAAUCGGAUUUACUUUGGAAGACACCUUGUCUCAGCUGCUGUCAACAUUGCCAUCUGACUGAUCUUUCUCCAUGUAAGCUGCAAGUGUGCCAAUGAGAGGACUUUUAGACCAAAGCAGUAGCCUGAAUUGCUGAAAAGAUAUCAGGCUUAACAAGAAAGCAAGAUGGGGCUUAGUUCUCUGUGAGGAAAUUCUGCAAGAUAUUAAUAGUUGACCCUUACUAAGAAGAUUCCAGAGUCAGAAUCUUGGGAAGCCUGAUUAAAACAAAGCUACAUAAUUCUGUGUGCAAACAUGUGUCUGAAAUUUCUUAAGAGAAGACAAAGUAUUAUCACAUACUAUGUCAGCAAUUUGACCAUGGAAUUCUUUUCUUGUACAAUACCCACUAAUGGCCAAUGGAACGAAAAUUUGGGACACACAGCCAAAAUUAAAUACUCACAUUCAUAUAUAAAUACAAAAAUCAAUUACAGUAAUAUAUAAAAUGCUUUGGAUCUUCCUUAUUACUGUUCUCUAAUUCAGAAAAUUAUAGAGUUGAUUGGAAGUGCAUAUCUUAGUAGGGAAAUAAUAACAAUAAUCAUAAUUAUAAUAAGUGAUAGUAA
Molecule: long non-coding RNA, 1015 nt
Organism: Neofelis nebulosa (Clouded leopard)
Lineage: Eukaryota; Metazoa; Chordata; Mammalia; Carnivora; Felidae
Exons: 3
Source: RefSeq, a predicted model, not a curated record